This 25-nucleotide ribosomal RNA is filed under the name Lactococcus lactis. Its description in RNAcentral is "partial 5'end of 16S rRNA". The record is from RNAcentral. Lineage: Bacteria; Bacillati; Bacillota; Bacilli; Lactobacillales; Streptococcaceae.
UUUGAGAGUUUGAUCCUGGCUCAGG